This is a non-coding RNA of Triticum aestivum (bread wheat), 134 nucleotides long. Lineage: Eukaryota; Viridiplantae; Streptophyta; Magnoliopsida; Poales; Poaceae. The record is from Rfam.
CAUGUACUCCCUCCGUCGCAAAAUUCUUGUCUUACAUUUGUCUAAAUACGAAUGUAUCAAAUCAUGUUUUUUAUUAGAUACAUUCGUGUCUAGACAAAUCUAAGACAAGAAUUUUGGGACGGAGGGAGUAUGUC